This 253-nucleotide ribosomal RNA is filed under the name uncultured bacterium. Its description in RNAcentral is "partial 16S ribosomal RNA". It matches the Rfam family "Bacterial small subunit ribosomal RNA", at positions 524 to 776 of the family's 1533-position model. The record is from RNAcentral.
GACGAACCGUCCUAACGUUUUUCGGAAUCACUGGGCUUAAAGGGCGCGUAGGCGGCCCAUCAAGGCCGGGGUGAAAGCCUCCAGCUUAACUGGAGAAGUGCCACGGAUACUGGUGGGCUCGAGGGAGGUAGGGGCAACUGGAACUUGCGGUGGAGCGGUGAAAUGCGUUGAUAUCGGAAGGAACGCCGGUGGCGAAAGCGAGGUGAGGGAGCUCUUCUGACGCUGAGGCGCGAAAGCUAGGGGAGCAAACGGG